Columba livia (rock pigeon) is the source of this 300-nucleotide long non-coding RNA. RefSeq lists it as uncharacterized. The transcript is spliced from 3 exons. NCBI's taxonomy places the organism in Eukaryota, Metazoa, Chordata, Aves, Columbiformes, Columbidae. The record is from RefSeq and is a predicted model, not a curated record.
GUUGUCAACUUCGCCUCCGAGCCGAUCGAGGGAUGGAGAUUUUAGUUCAGCAGCAUUAAAGAUCUGCGCUUGAAAUAAUUGUGGGAGGAGAUGGCCACCCUGGAAACAGCAGGAACAGAAAAUGUAGGACAAGAAGAUCUCUGGAUUCUGGGAGUACCGGAACAGGAGGAGGAUGGAUGCUACUGGGAACUUCCAUGAGACUGCACCGUGAAUAUUUUCACCAUGUGUAGGUAUUUUUAGGAGGUGUAAAUCAGGCAUUUGGAGCAGAAGGUAAAAUUAAGUCACCUCUGUAUCUUUAGG